UGGGUGUUAGGUCCUCCUCAUAGCUGGAGCAGAGGGAGGGUUUUGGGGGUAGAUGAGCAGGUCCUCCUUAUAGCUGGAGCAGAGGGAGGGUUUUGUUAACAGGGGGUAGAUGAGCAGGUCCUCCUCAUAGCUGGAGCAGAGGGAGGGUUUUGUUAACAGGGGGGUAGAUGAGCAGGUCCUCCUCAUAGCUGGAGCAGAGGGAGGGUUUUGGGGGUAGAUGAGCAGGUCCUCCUCAUAGCUGGAGCAGAGGGAGGGUUUUGUUAACAGGGGGGUAGAUGAGCAGGUCCUCCUCAUAGCUGGAGCAGAGGGAGGGUUUUGUUAACAGGGGGUAGAUGAACAGGUCCUCAUAGCUAGAGCAGAGGGAGGGUUUUGUUAACAGGGGGGUAGAUGAGCAGGUCCUCAUAGCUGGAGCAGAGGGAGGGUUUCGUUAACGAGGUAGAUGAGUAGGUCCAGUGGCAGGCAGGUAGGACUGUUCCCUCUCCAUUCAAGGCGUCCCGUCGGCGCCUCGCAGUCCCCGCUGUCUUGACUGCCUUGUACAAGAUCAAGUUCAUUGCUACGUUCCCACUAACUCAGUAAUGUCAGCCCGCACAAAUCUUCAGAGGAAUCGUCAGACUGAGCAAUGAAUUCAUCCCUGCCAGCUCGCCAUCCAUUGCAGUCCUCCUCAGGGGUCAGGAGACCAUAAAAAACAAAAAUAUGGUGGCGUAUUCAAAUCAAAACACACUAGCUAACUAGCGUGCUAGCAUUGUUAGCUAGCUAUGUUGAAAGAGCUGAUUUUCCAUCAAAUUCACAGGUAGGAAACACAUUGAUUUUACCCAGACUCAGUCUAUACUCAUUGAGCUAUUCAAAACCAAAAAUCAAGUCAAAAUAUUCAAACCAAAAAAAAAC
Molecule: long non-coding RNA, 885 nt
Filed under: Salmo salar (Atlantic salmon)
Lineage: Eukaryota; Metazoa; Chordata; Actinopteri; Salmoniformes; Salmonidae
Description: lncRNA (ENSSSAG00000093005.1)
Source: RNAcentral